GACGAACGCUGGCGGCGUGCUUAACACAUGCAAGUCGAACGGAAAGGCCCUGCUUUUGUGGGGUGCUCGAGUGGCGAACGGGUGAGUAACACGUGAGUAACCUGCCCUUGACUUUGGGAUAACUUCAGGAAACUGGGGCUAAUACCGGAUAGGAGCUCCUGCUGCAUGGUGGGGGUUGGAAAGUUUCGGCGGUUGGGGAUGGACUCGCGGCUUAUGAGCUUGUUGGUGGGGUAGUGGCUUACCAAGGGUUUGACGGGUAGCCGGCCUGGGAGGGUGACCGGCCACAAUGGGACUGAGAUACGGCCCAGACUCGUACGGGAGGCAGCAGUGGGGAAUAUUGCACAAUGGGCGGAAGCCUGAUGCAGCAACGCCGCGUGCGGGAUGACGGCCUUCGGGUUGUAAACCGCUUUCGCCUGUGACGAAGCGUGAGUGACGGUAAUGGGUAAAGAAGCACCGGCUAACUACGUG
Molecule: ribosomal RNA, 468 nt
Filed under: uncultured bacterium
Lineage: Bacteria
Description: partial 16S ribosomal RNA
Rfam family: Bacterial small subunit ribosomal RNA
Source: RNAcentral